This 466-nucleotide ribosomal RNA is filed under the name uncultured bacterium. Its description in RNAcentral is "partial 16S ribosomal RNA". It matches the Rfam family "Bacterial small subunit ribosomal RNA", at positions 30 to 507 of the family's 1533-position model. The record is from RNAcentral.
CGAACGCUGGCGGCGUGCUUAACACAUGCACGUCGAACGGAAAGGCCCUGCUUUUGUGGGGUGCUCGAGUGGCGAACGGGUGAGUAACACGUGAGUAACCUGCCCUUGACUUUGGGAUAACUUCAAGAAACUGGGGCUAAUACCGGAUAGGAGCUCCUGCUGCAUGGUGGGGGUUGGAAAGUUUCGGCGGUUGGGGAUGGACUCGCGGCUUAUCAGCUUGUUGGUGGGGUAGUGGCUUACCAAGGCUUUGACGGGUAGCCGGCCUGAGAGGGUGACCGGCCACAUUGGGACUGAGAUACGGCCCAGACUCCUACGGGAGGCAGCAGUGGGGAAUAUUGCACAAUGGGCGGAAGCCUGAUGCAGCAACGCCGCGUGCGGGAUGACGGCCUUCGGGUUGUAAACCGCUUUCGCCUGUGACGAAGCGUGAGUGACGGUAAUGGGUAAAGAAGCACCGGCUAACUACGUG